This 411-nucleotide long non-coding RNA is filed under the name Brassica napus (rape). RNAcentral describes it as "long non-coding RNA (BNAP_LNC017210)". Lineage: Eukaryota; Viridiplantae; Streptophyta; Magnoliopsida; Brassicales; Brassicaceae. The record is from RNAcentral.
CAGUUGACCAAAUGAAGUCUUUUGUUCAAGGGUGGUAAGGUUUUGGUUUACUGCUUUCUGCAAGCAUUUCUCCUUUUUAGCAGUGAACCCUCUUAAGUUAGUUUUCUUGGAAACUAGGUUCCAAUCAAGUAGUGGUUUGUUCAAACCAUUGUUCGUGGCCAAACCUUAGAUAAAGAAAUUCACUUAUUUACUACAGAGAAGAAGUUACAUGAAGUUAACUUAGAGAAGAAGUUACACUAAUCCUAAUGUGUUUAGGAAAGUUAGUUCCUAAAGAAAUAUGGAAACAUUAAUCUGUAUAUAAAGUAUAUGCAAGAGUGUUGCAUAACAUAAGAGUUUUAGAGAUUGUGAUUGAGCACUUAAGUUUUGAGGAAAUUUUUUAAGAUAAUAAAGAAGCGUUUUUUUAUAUUGAGU